CCUAACACAUGCAAGUCGAACGGUAACAGGAAACAGCUUGCUGUUUCGCUGACGAGUGGCGGACGGGUGAGUAAUGUCUGGGAAACUGCCUGAUGGAGGGGGAUAACUACUGGAAACGGUAGCUAAUACCGCAUAACGUCGCAAGACCAAAGAGGGGGACCCUCGGGCCUCUUGCCAUCGGAUGUGCCCAGAUGGGAUUAGCUUGUUGGUGGGGUAACGGCUCACCAAGGCGACGAUCCCUAGCUGGUCUGAGAGGAUGACCAGCCACACUGGAACUGAGACACGGUCCAGACUCCUACGGGAGGCAGCAGUGGGGAAUAUUGCACAAUGGGCGCAAGCCUGAUGCAGCCAUGCCGCGUGUAUGAAGAAGGCCUUCGGGUUGUAAAGACUUUCAGCGGGGAGGAAGGGAGUAAAGUUAAUACCUUUGCUCAUUGACGUUACCCGCAGAAGAAGCACCGGCUAACUCCGUGCCAGCGGCCGCGGUAAUACGGAGGGUGCAAGCGUUAAUCGGAAUUACUGGGCGUAAAG
Molecule: ribosomal RNA, 528 nt
Filed under: uncultured bacterium
Lineage: Bacteria
Description: bacterial SSU rRNA
Rfam family: Bacterial small subunit ribosomal RNA
Source: RNAcentral